Molecule: ribosomal RNA, 774 nt
Filed under: uncultured Neocallimastigales
Lineage: Eukaryota; Fungi; Neocallimastigomycota; Neocallimastigomycetes; Neocallimastigales
Description: partial large subunit ribosomal RNA
Rfam family: Eukaryotic large subunit ribosomal RNA
Source: RNAcentral
CGCAUCUGUGCAUGCAGCAUAUCAAUAAGCGGAGGAAAAGAAACUAACAAGGAUUCCCCUAGUAACGGCGAGUGAAGCGGGAAGAGCUCAAAUUUGAAAUCUUAAAGGGUUUCCCUUUACGAAUUGUAGUUUAAAGAAGUGUUUUCUGUUGAGGUUUUGGUAAAAGUUCUUUGGAAUAGGACAUCAUAGAGGGUGAGAAUCCCGUAUUUGACCUUUACUUUCAACUUUGUGAUACACUUUCAAAGAGUCGGAUUGUUUGGGAAUGCAGUCCAAAAUGGGUGGUAAAUUUCAUCUAAAGCUAAAUAUUGGCGAGAGACCGAUAGCGAACAAGUACCGUGAGGGAAAGAUGAAAAGAACUUUGAAAAGAGAGUUAAACAGUACGUGAAAUUGUCAAAAGGGAAGCGUUUGACACCAGUGUUGUUUUUCUGAAAAUCAAUUAAAGAACUGUUUAUGCUAAGUUGUUUAGACUUUAUCAGCUAACUGUUUAGUUUUGAGCUUUUCUUUGAUGCACUUUUCAGUUAACAAGUCAACAUCAAUUUCUUUUGCUGUAAAAAAGCUUGAGGAAGGUGGCUUGAGAUUCGUCUUAAGUGUUUAUAGCCUCUUGCCUAUGCAGUCGGAGAGAUUGAGGUCUGCAGCGUAGAUCCUUCGGGGCUAAAUGCAUUUGUGCUAAGUUAUAACAUUUUAUAGACAACUUGUUGACUAUGAUUUGUCUUGUAGCUUACUCGCUUAUGUUAUUUUACCUACGCUUAGGAUGUUGACAGCAGUAUAGACUGU